Molecule: ribosomal RNA, 535 nt
Filed under: Ustilago sp. DMKU-SP128
Lineage: Eukaryota; Fungi; Basidiomycota; Ustilaginomycetes; Ustilaginales; Ustilaginaceae
Description: LSU rRNA
Rfam family: Eukaryotic large subunit ribosomal RNA
Source: RNAcentral
GGCGUCCGCUUUGUAAUCUCAAGAAGUGUUUUCCGCUUCGGACCAAGCCUAAGUCCCCUGGAAAGGGGCAUCAUAGAGGGUGAUAAUCCCGUACAUGGCUUGGAGCGCCCGUAGCUUUGUGAUACACUUUCUAAGAGUCGAGUUGUUUGGGAAUGCAGCUCAAAAUGGGUGGUAAAUGCCAUCUAAGGCUAAAUAUUGGGGAGAGACCGAUAGCGAACAAGUACAGUGAUGGAAAGAUGAAAAGAACUUUGAAAAGAGAGUUAAACAGUACGUGAAAUUGCCAAAAGGGAAGGGUAGGAGGUCAGAGAUGCGGCCUAGGAUUCAGCCUUGCUUUUGCUUGGUGUUUUUCCUAGAUUGCAGGCCAACGUCGGUUUUGGGCACUGGAGAAGGGUGGAAGGAACGUGGCACCUCUCGGGGUGUGUUAUAGCCUUCCACUGGAUACAGCGACCGAGACCGAGGACAGCAGCGUACUCGCAAGAGCGGGCCUUCGGGCACCUUUACGCUUAGGGCGUUGGCAUAAUGGCCCUCUACCACC